ACACUUACCUGGCAGAGGAGAUGAUCAAAAAGGUGGUUUUGCUGGCAAGAAAUUAAUCCAUUGUACUCUGGGUGUGCUGACCUCUGGGAUUUCUCCAAAUUUGGGGAACUCGACUGCAAAAUUUGUGGUAGUGGGGCCUGGGUUUUUGCUCUCCCCUAA
Jaculus jaculus (lesser Egyptian jerboa) is the source of this 159-nucleotide small nuclear RNA. Its record names the gene U1. It matches the Rfam family "U1 spliceosomal RNA". Rfam says of the family: U1 is a small nuclear RNA (snRNA) component of the spliceosome (involved in pre-mRNA splicing). The record is from Ensembl. NCBI's taxonomy places the organism in Eukaryota, Metazoa, Chordata, Mammalia, Rodentia, Dipodidae.